AUAGAAAUGUGCGACAUUGUAAUUACUGCCCUUAGUAACUGACUUCAUUUAAAGCACAUUUGGCAACUGUAUCAGCAUUUUCUAAUUAUCUCAACAGCUGUAAUAAUAUAGUAUAAUAUAUUCAUCAAACUUCCAACAACAAUAUGAACAGCAGUCUUCACACAGCAAUAC
Long non-coding RNA from Etheostoma cragini (Arkansas darter), 171 nucleotides. RefSeq lists it as uncharacterized. The record is from RefSeq and is a predicted model, not a curated record. The transcript is spliced from 3 exons. Lineage: Eukaryota; Metazoa; Chordata; Actinopteri; Perciformes; Percidae.